RNAcentral lists this transfer RNA (66 nucleotides) under Nipponacmea nigrans. Its description in RNAcentral is "tRNA-Cys". It matches the Rfam family "tRNA". Rfam says of the family: Transfer RNA (tRNA) molecules are approximately 80 nucleotides in length. The record is from RNAcentral. Lineage: Eukaryota; Metazoa; Mollusca; Gastropoda; Lottiidae.
GCAGAUAUGGUUAAAGAUAAUAACAUCGGACUGCAAACCCGAUAUUGCGGUUUUCCGCUAUCUGCU